AACAAAACACAGGGGAGCUCGUGAGGCGGGCUGAGAGGAAGUAACCAAACUUCGACCCUUGACCUGAUGCGGAUAAUGCCGCCGUAGGAAGUCAUAGGAAAAUGAUU
This 107-nucleotide non-coding RNA is filed under the name Faecalibacterium prausnitzii. RNAcentral describes it as "TPP sequence". It matches the Rfam family "TPP riboswitch aptamer (THI element)". Rfam says of the family: Vitamin B(1) in its active form thiamin pyrophosphate (TPP) is an essential coenzyme that is synthesised by coupling of pyrimidine and thiazole moieties in bacteria. The previously detected thiamin-regulatory element, thi box was extended, resulting in a new, highly conserved RNA secondary structure, the THI element, which is widely distributed in eubacteria and also occurs in some archaea. Analysis of operon structures identified a large number of new candidate thiamin-regulated genes, mostly transporters, in various prokaryotic organisms. RNAcentral also lists the same sequence under 1 other name. Lineage: Bacteria; Bacillati; Bacillota; Clostridia; Eubacteriales; Oscillospiraceae. The record is from RNAcentral.